AUUUAUUUGUAUCUGGGAAAAUAUUCUCUCUAGUUUAAAAUGAUUUAAAGAGACUAUACAAAAAAACAAAAACAAAAACAAAAAAAAAACACCACCACCGCCGCUGCGACAAGACGACAAAAAGCAGACAAAAAGAAAAAAAUCUGACCUCUCCGUUUUGAAUUUGUUGUUUAAAAAAAAAAAAGGAAAGAAAGAUAGGAAAAAACUCCUCGAGAGAAAUAGCAAAUGUUUCUACCUUCUGUUGCUCUUUUCUCCUUUGGCCCUCUCUCUCUCUCUCUCUCUCUCUCUCUCUCUCUCUCUCUCUCUCUCUCUCUCUCUGUUUUUAAGUCCAAGUAUUGGUCAAACAAAAUGCAAUCCUCUGUUUUUGUUCAGCCGACAAUCAUUUUCUUCGUAAGCACCUUUUUCUCUCCACUCUGUCACUGCCUGUGUGGGUACUGGUUAUAAAUGUGGAAAAAGAAUAGUUAUGACUGUAACAGAUUUUUAUUUUUAUUUCAAAAUUUUAUAUGAAUUAUGUAUAUCUUAAUGAUCGGUCAUUUUCCCAGUUUGUAAUAUAUGUGUAGAAAUUGCUUGUAUAUGAUCCCUGCUUUUUUCUCCUCUCCCUUCUCUCUCUCCUCCCUCCUUCCCUCCCACUCACCUCUUUCCUUUUGGGGAUUCUCGGCGUCGACUUGGCGAUCGAGGUUUGGCGAGGUGGCCAGGGUUAGAGAGAGAGAAAGAGAGAGAGGGACCCUGUCGCUAGUGAAAGCAGAGAGUGAGACCGUAGUAUUCUUAUGCAAAAGCUAUUCAAGUUUUUCCUAGCCGCUUUGGAGGCCCCAUUCACUCCUGUAGAGCGCUUUUACUGUUAUCUUAACUGCGUGUUUAUCUAUAUGUAAAAACUUUCUAAAGC
Molecule: long non-coding RNA, 883 nt
Filed under: Mus musculus (house mouse)
Lineage: Eukaryota; Metazoa; Chordata; Mammalia; Rodentia; Muridae
Description: long non-coding RNA chr17:85624311-85625194
Source: RNAcentral